Molecule: small RNA, 736 nt
Filed under: Pongo abelii (Sumatran orangutan)
Lineage: Eukaryota; Metazoa; Chordata; Mammalia; Primates; Hominidae
Description: retained intron
Source: RNAcentral
GGGCCCUACCGGAGGCCCCAGCGACUCCGGAAGAGAACGGAGUUUGCGGGAGAUAAGUUCAAGGAGGAGAAAGUGUUUGAGCCAAACGAGGAGGCCCUGGGGGUCGUGCUGCACAAGGACUCCAAGUGGUACCAGCAGUGGAAGGACUUCAAGGAGAACAACGUGGUGUUUAACCGGUUCUUCGAGAUGAAGAUGAAGUAUGACGAAAGCGACAACGCGUUCAUCCGGGCAUCCCGGGCCCUUACGGACAAGGUCACCGACUUGCUGGGGGGCCUGUUCUCCAAGACAGAGAUGUCGGAGGUGCUCACGGAGAUCCUCCGGGUGGACCCGGCCUUUGACAAGGACCGGUUUCUGAAACAGUGCGAGAACGACAUCAUCCCCAAUGUCCUGGAGGUGGGUGCCACACCCCCAGGACCCCUCCCAGGCGGCAGGUCCUGGCUCCACCACCUCCCCCGCCCCAGCCGGCACCCUGGGUGCUGCCAGGGAACUUCGCUGCCGAGGCUGUUUUCUGAGGAGGCUGGUUGCACAUGGGCUCCUGCCCGGCUGCAGCUGCCCCACGAGCUGUGCCCGAAGCCAUUCCUGGGCCUUACCGGUGCCUCCAGGUGCCGUUUCCCUCACUCCUCCUGCCUGAGGCUGUUGUUCCUUUGAGGUUGCUGGGAGCUGCUGCUGGAGGCUAGGGAUUGUCUCAGGUGCCUGGAGCCCCUCACCCCUUGGGAGAAGUGGGUGUCUGUCCUCA